This 516-nucleotide ribosomal RNA is filed under the name Colletotrichum cf. gloeosporioides ROG-2010. RNAcentral's name for it is "eukaryotic LSU rRNA". The stretch from base 188 to 341 matches the Rfam family "5.8S ribosomal RNA". The record is from RNAcentral. Lineage: Eukaryota; Fungi; Ascomycota; Sordariomycetes; Glomerellales; Glomerellaceae.
GCGGAGGGAUCAUUACUGAGUUUACGCUCUACAACCCUUUGUGAACAUACCUAUAACUGUUGCUUCGGCGGGUAGGGUCUCCGCGACCCUCCCGGCCUCCCGCCUCCGGGCGGGUCGGCGCCCGCCGGAGGAUAACCAAACUCUGAUUUAACGACGUUUCUUCUGAGUGGUACAAGCAAAUAAUCAAAACUUUUAACAACGGAUCUCUUGGUUCUGGCAUCGAUGAAGAACGCAGCGAAAUGCGAUAAGUAAUGUGAAUUGCAGAAUUCAGUGAAUCAUCGAAUCUUUGAACGCACAUUGCGCCCGCCAGCAUUCUGGCGGGCAUGCCUGUUCGAGCGUCAUUUCAACCCUCAAGCUCUGCUUGGUGUUGGGGCCCUACAGCUGAUGUAGGCCCUCAAAGGUAGUGGCGGACCCUCCCGGAGCCUCCUUUGCGUAGUAACUUUACGUCUCGCACUGGGAUCCGGAGGGACUCUUGCCGUAAAACCCCCAAUUUUCCAAAGGUUGACCUCGGAUCAG